GACGAACGCUGGCGGCGUGCUUAACACAUGCAAGUCGAACGGAAAGGCCCUGCUUUUGUGGGGUGCUCGAGUGGCGAACGGGUGAGUAACACGUGAGUAACCUGCCCUUGACUUUGGGAUAACUUCAGGAAACUGGGGCUAAUACCGGAUAGGAGCUCCUGCUGCAUGGUGGGGGUUGGAAAGUUUCGGCGGUAGGGGAUGGACUCGCGGCUUAUCAGAUUGUUGGUGGGGUAGUGGCUUACCAAGGCUUUGACGGGUAGCCGGCCUGAGAGGGUGACCGGGCACAAGGGGACUGCGAGACGCAGCAGAGUGCAACGGGAGGCAGCAGUGGGGAAUAUUGCACAAUGGGCGGGAGCCGGAGGAAGAAGCGUUGCGGGCGGGAAGACGGCUUUCGGGUUGUAAACCGCUGUCGGCUGAGACGAAGCGGGAGUGACGGUAAUGGGUAAAGAAGCACCGGCUAACUACGUG
Molecule: ribosomal RNA, 468 nt
Filed under: uncultured bacterium
Lineage: Bacteria
Description: partial 16S ribosomal RNA
Rfam family: Bacterial small subunit ribosomal RNA
Source: RNAcentral